This 70-nucleotide transfer RNA is filed under the name Sphaerodactylus townsendi. Its description in RNAcentral is "tRNA-Ala". The record is from RNAcentral. Lineage: Eukaryota; Metazoa; Chordata; Lepidosauria; Squamata; Sphaerodactylidae.
GCCUAUGGCUCAGUGGCAGGGUCUCUGCUUGGCCUGCCGAAGGUGCCAGGUUCGAUCCCCGGCAUCUACA